AUUGAACGCUGGCGGCAGGCCUAACACAUGCAAGUCGAGCGGAUGCAGGGAGCUUGCUCCUGGAUUCGGCGGCGGACGGGUGAGUAAUUCCUGGGAAUCUGCCUGGCAGCGGUUGAUAACGUCCUGAAACGGGCGCUAGUACCCCAUACCUCCUGAGGGAGUAAGUGGGGGAUCUUCGGACCUCACGCUAUCAGAUGAGCGUAGGACGGAUUAGCUAGUUGGUGGGGUAAAGGCCUACCAAGGCGACGAUCCGUAACUGGUCUGAGAGGAUGAUCAGUCACACUGGAACUGAGACACGGUCCAGACUCCUACGGGAGGCAGCAGUGGGGAAUAUUGGACAAAGGGCGAAAGCCUGAUCCAGCCAUACCGCGUGUGUGAAGAAGGUCUUCGGAUUGUAAAGCACUUUAAGUUGGGAGGAAGGGCAGUAAGUUAAUACCUUGCUGUUUUGACGGUACCAACAGAAUAAGCACCGGCUAACUUCGUG
This 484-nucleotide ribosomal RNA is filed under the name uncultured bacterium. RNAcentral describes it as "partial 16S ribosomal RNA". It matches the Rfam family "Bacterial small subunit ribosomal RNA", at positions 30 to 507 of the family's 1533-position model. The record is from RNAcentral.